UACAGAGGAUGCAAGCGUUAUCCGGAAUGAUUGGGCGUAAAGCGUCUGUAGGUGGCUUUUUAAGUCCGCCGUCAAAUCCCAGGGCUCAACUCUGGACAGGCGGUGGAAACUACCAAGCUGGAGUACGGUAGGGGCAGAGGGAAUUUCCGGUGUAGCGGUGAAAUGCGUAGAUAUCGAGAGGAACACCUGCGGCGAAGGCGGGUUGCUGGGCUGACACUGACGCUGAUGCGCGAAAGCCAGGGGAGCGAACGGG
This 253-nucleotide ribosomal RNA is filed under the name uncultured bacterium. Its description in RNAcentral is "partial 16S ribosomal RNA". It matches the Rfam family "Bacterial small subunit ribosomal RNA", at positions 524 to 776 of the family's 1533-position model. The record is from RNAcentral.